Molecule: ribosomal RNA, 253 nt
Filed under: uncultured bacterium
Lineage: Bacteria
Description: partial 16S ribosomal RNA
Rfam family: Bacterial small subunit ribosomal RNA
Source: RNAcentral
UACGAAUGGGGCAAGCGUUGUUCGGAAUCACUGGGCUUAAAGCGUGCGUAGGCGGACAUGAAAGUCAGGAGUGAAAUCCCGGGGCUCAACCUCGGAAUUGCUUUUGAAACUCCAUGUCUGGAAUCCGGGAGAGGUUAGCAGAAUUCCGAGUGUAGAGGUGAAAUUCGCAGAUAUUCGGAGGGAUACCAGUGGCGAAGGCGGCUAACUGGACCGGCAUUGACGCUGAGGCCCGAAAGGCGGGGGAGGAAACAGG